This 237-nucleotide ribosomal RNA is filed under the name uncultured bacterium. RNAcentral describes it as "partial 16S ribosomal RNA". It matches the Rfam family "Bacterial small subunit ribosomal RNA", at positions 100 to 334 of the family's 1533-position model. The record is from RNAcentral.
CCGGCACGGGUGAGUAACACGUAUCCAACCUGCCGUCUACUCUUGGACAGCCUUCUGAAAGGAAGAUUAAUACAAGAUGGCAUCAUGAGUCCGCAUGUUCACAUGAUUAAAGGUAUUCCGGUAGACGAUGGGGAUGCGUUCCAUUAGAUAGUAGGCGGGGUAACGGCCCACCUAGUCUUCGAUGGACAGGGGUUCUGAGAGGAAGGUCCCCCACAUUGGAACUGAGACACGGUCCAA